CCUACGGGGGGCACCAGUAGGGAAUCUUCGGCAAUGGACGAAAGUCUGACCGAGCAACGCCGCGUGAGUGAAGAAGGUUUUCGGAUAGUAAAACUCUGUUGGUAGAGAAGAACGUUGGUGAGAGUGGAAAGCUCAUCAAGUGACGGUAACUACCCAGAAAGGGACGGCUAACUACGUGCCAGCAGCCGCGGUAAUACGUAGGUCCCGAGCGUUGUCCGGAUUUAUUGGGCGUAAAGCGAGCGCAGGUGGUUUAUUGAGUCUGGUGUAAAAGGCAGUGGCUCAACCAUUGUAUGCAUUGGAAACUGGUAGACUUGAGUGCAGGAGAGGAGAGUGGAAUUCCAUGUGUAGCGGUGAAAUGCGUAGAUAUAUGGAGGAACGCCGGUGGCGAAAGCGGCUCUCUGGCCUGUAACUGACACUGGGGCUCGAAAGCGUGGGGAGCAAACAGGAUUAGAUACCCGUGUAGUC
This 465-nucleotide ribosomal RNA is filed under the name uncultured bacterium. Its description in RNAcentral is "bacterial SSU rRNA". It matches the Rfam family "Bacterial small subunit ribosomal RNA", at positions 338 to 795 of the family's 1533-position model. The record is from RNAcentral.